AAAUUCAAUGGCAUACGCCCCUCUUUCCUGAAAAUAAUCCGCCAUUGUAUGUAACUUCUUUUGGUGAUAAGACCAAAAAGAAAGAAUGGCACAAAAUAAUUAUUUUGGCUUUACACACGGUGGAACACAGUAUGGGGCUACAAGUGCAGCUGCUUAUCAAACUGGACAACCAGGAUAUGCAGUAACUCCAGCUGCAACUGCUGCAACAUAUACACAAAGACCAGCUGCUGCUCCAGCAACUGGAUAUGAAAGUUAUCAAGCUGCUGCGGCUGCUGCUGCCACAGGAACAACUUAUGCUGGUUUUGUUUCCCCCAUAGCUGCAAAUCCAGGAACAGUUGCACAAACAUAUGAUUAUGGAUAUGGACGUCCAGCACCAGCAGCAACAUAUGAUGCAACUAAAACAUAUUAUCAACAACAAGCAGCACCACCAGCAACAUAUGCAACAACUGAAACACAUUAUCAAGCUGCUAAACCAGCAUACAGUACAAAUGCAUAUGCUGGUGCACCAAGACAGGCAACAACAACUGGACAAGCUAAAACUUAUCAAGCAUCAAGCACAGCUUAUCCACAAUCAAAUCCAGCACAAAAUGCAUCAUAUUCAUCUGGUUAUACAGCACCUGCUGUACCUGCUGCUGCUCCACCAGCUGCUACAAAUAAGCCAGCAAGUACACCAUAUUCUGGAUAUGAUGCAGCGCUUUAUAGUGCAGCAACAAUGUACGUAGCUCAACAAAGUGCAAAUAGUAAUUCAACUAAUCAAAAAAGUGGAGGCUGGCAAGGCUAUGGACGUAAAAGUUUUGGACCUAGUGGAGGUGGUGGCGGUGGAGGAGGUGGAGGAGGCGGUGGUGGUCAAGGAGGAGGUGGCGGCGGUGGUGGAGGUGGUGGUGGCGGAGGAAUGAAAAGUAUGCGUUCAAAACAACCACCAAAACCUCAACAAUUACAUUACUGUGAUGUUUGUAAAAUAAGUUGUGCUGGACCACAAACUUAUCGUGAACAUCUUGAAGGACAAAAACAUAAAAAAAAAGAAGCAUCAUUAAAAGUACCACAACAACCACCAGCACGUGGAGCUGGUAAUUCAUUAAGAUGUGAAUUAUGUGAUGUAACAUGUACUGGUAAUGAUGCAUAUGCUGCUCAUAUACGUGGUGCUAAACAUCAAAAAGUUGUUAAAUUACAUACAAAACUUGGUAAACCAAUACCAAGUGCUGAUCCAACUGUAUUAAAUCCAAAACCAACAGCUGCUGUUAAAGUUGAGGCACCAACAACAGCAACAACAACAUCAGCACCAACAACAACUGGUACUACUAAUGCAACUGCAACUGGUGCUGUUAAAAAACCAGCAGUUAUAACAUCAGCACCUAAAAUAAAUUUCGUUGCUUCUGGUAAUUUAGGUACAGUUAAUCAAAAUCAAAGUCAACCAAUUGCUGAACAAAAAAUUGUAGAAGAAACAACAACAACAACAGUCAUUGAAGAAGUACAAGAAGAAACAAUUAAUGAUGAAAAAGAAAUACAACCAGUUGGACAAGAAUAUAUUGAAGAAAUGAAAUCAGAUGAUGGAAAAAUAAUAAGUUUUAAUUGUAAACUUUGUGAAUGUAGAUUUAAUGAUCCAAAUGCCAAAGAUAUGCAUAUGAAAGGACGUCGUCAUAGAUUUGCAUAUAAAAAAAAAGUAAAUCCAGAUUUAGUUGUUGAUCGAAAACCAAGUUUAAAACAACGUAAAAUGGAUGAAGAAAAAUUACGUAGACAACAUCGUGAAGAAUAUUCAAGAAGAAGAGAAGAUAUACAUUCAAUGGGUGGUCCAAUGGGACCAAUGGGUCCAAUGGUUGAUGAAGAAAUGUUACAUUGGGAAGAACGUCGUCGUUAUGAAGAAGAAUGUGAUUAUAUUGAUUGGCAUAGAAGAUAUGGUAGAGGACCAGCUGUACCACCAAUGUCUGGACCAUAUCCAAGACCAUUACCAAUGAUGAUGUAUCCAAAUUCACAAAGACGUCCAGAUUCAUCUGAUGAUAAACAUGUUGCUGCACAUCAUUCUGCUAUUUAUCCUAAAAGUGAAGAAUUACAAGCUGUUCGUAAUAUUGUAUCAAACACUGAAAAAGCAUUAAAAUUUGUAUCAGAUGCACUUGCUGAAGCUUAUAAAAAAAGUAUUACAACAACACCAGUAGUUACACCAGUUACCCCAGUGACUGUUAAUCCAACUGUUACACCAACACCAACAGCCACAGCAACAACCACAACAACAACACCAAAUUCAAUAACAACAAAUACUACUUCUACUGUUGAUACAAGUAAAAAAGAUGAUUUAAAUAAAAAAAAAACUGUCAAUUCAACACAAAAAGAAGAUGGUAGUGAUGGUGAAUUAUUUUCAUUUCAAAAAGAAAAAGAAGACACAAGAAUUUUACGUGGUGUUAUGAGAGUUGGUAAUCUUGCUAAAGAACUUUUACUAACUGGUGAUAAUCAUGUUUGUCUUGUUGUAUUGUGUCUUGAAAAACCAACAAAGGCUUUGUUAAAUAAAGUUGCUGAAAUAUUACCAGCUCAAUUAAAAAUUGUUGCACCUGAAGAGAGUUAUAAUAUUGGAAAACAUCCAGAAUCAGCAGCAAUAACAGUAUCUGGUGGUUCAAUAACAGUAAGCAUAACAUUGACAAGUCCAGUUAUGCGUGAAUCAUUAUCAAAAUCUCCAGCAUUAGCAGGCUAGAGCAAGUACACUACAAAGCUGUGUCAUGGUUAUUCGUAUAAUGCGAGAUUUAUGCAAUCGUGUUCCCACAUGGGCACCACUAAAUCCUUGGGCAUUGGAACUCCUCA
This 2787-nucleotide unclassified non-coding RNA is filed under the name Aphidius gifuensis. RNAcentral describes it as "zinc finger RNA-binding protein, transcript variant X1". The record is from RNAcentral. Lineage: Eukaryota; Metazoa; Arthropoda; Insecta; Hymenoptera; Braconidae.